Molecule: ribosomal RNA, 919 nt
Filed under: uncultured bacterium
Lineage: Bacteria
Description: bacterial SSU rRNA
Rfam family: Bacterial small subunit ribosomal RNA
Source: RNAcentral
ACGCUAGCUACAGGCUUAACACAUGCAAGUUGAGGGGAAACGGCAUUGAGUGCUUGCACUCUUUGGACGUCGACCGGCGCACGGGUGAGUAACGCGUAUCCAACCUUCCCAUUACUGUGGGAUAACCUGCCGAAAGGCAGACUAAUACCGCAUAGUCUUCGAUGACGGCAUCAGAUUUGAAGUAAAGAUUUAUCGGUAAUGGAUGGGGAUGCGUCUGAUUAGCUUGUUGGCGGGGUAACGGCCCACCAAGGCAACGAUCAGUAGGGGUUCUGAGAGGAAGGUCCCCCACAUUGGAACUGAGACACGGUCCAAACUCCUACGGGAGGCAGCAGUGAGGAAUAUUGGUCAAUGGACGGAAGUCUGAACCAGCCAAGUAGCGUGCAGGAUGACGGCCCUAUGGGUUGUAAACUGCUUUUGUAUGGGGAUAAAGUUAGGGACGUGUCCCUAUUUGCAGGUACCAUACGAAUAAGGACCGGCUAAUUCCGUGCCAGCAGCCGCGGUAAUACGGAAGGUCCAGGCGUUAUCCGGAUUUAUUGGGUUUAAAGGGAGCGUAGGCUGGAGAUUAAGUGUGUUGUGAAAUGUAGACGCUCAACGUCUGAAUUGCAGCGCAUACUGGUUUCCUUGAGUACGCACAACGUUGGCGGAAUUCGUCGUGUAGCGGUGAAAUGCUUAGAUAUGACGAAGAACUCCGAUUGCGAAGGCAGCUGACGGGAGCGCAACUGACGCUUAAGCUCGAAGGUGCGGGUAUCAAACAGGAUUAGAUACCCUGGUAGUCCGCACAGUAAACGAUGGAUGCCCGCUGUUGGUACCUGGUAUCAGCGGCUAAGCGAAAGCAUUAAGCAUCCCACCUGGGGAGUACGCCGGCAACGGUGAAACUCAAAGGAAUUGACGGGGGCCCGCACAAGCGGAGGAACAUGUG